RNAcentral lists this ribosomal RNA (496 nucleotides) under uncultured bacterium. RNAcentral's name for it is "partial 16S ribosomal RNA". It matches the Rfam family "Bacterial small subunit ribosomal RNA", at positions 30 to 523 of the family's 1533-position model. The record is from RNAcentral.
AUUGAACGCUGGCGGAAUGCUUUACACAUGCAAGUCGAACGGUAGAGGGGGCAACCCCUCGAGAGUGGCGAACGGGUGAGUAAUAUAUCGGAACGUGCCCAUUCGUGGGGGAUAACGUAGCGAAAGUUACGCUAAUACCGCAUACGAUCUAAGGAUGAAAGCGGGGGAUAGCAAGACCUCGCGCGAUUGGAGCGGCCGAUAUCAGAUUAGGUAGUUGGUGGGGUAAAGGCUCACCAAGCCAACGAUCUGUAGCUGGUCGGAGAGAACGACAAGCCACACUGGAACUGAGACACGGUCCAGACUCCUACGGGAGGCAGCCGUGGGGAAUUUUGGACAAUGGACGCAAGUCUGAUCCAGCCAUUCCGCGUGCAGGAUGAAGGCCCUCGGGUUGUAAACUGCUUUUGUACGGAACGAAAAGGUCUCUCUUAAUACGGGGGGCUCAUGACGGUACCGUAAGAAUAAGCACCGGCUAACUACGUGCCAGCAGCCGCAGUAA